GAUGAACGCUGGCGGCGUGCCUAAUACAUGCAAGUCGAGCGAACGGACGAGAAGCUUGCUUCUCUGAUGUUAGCGGCGGACGGGUGAGUAACACGUGGAUAACCUACCUAUAAGACUGGGUUAACUUCGGGAAACCGGAGCUAAUACCGGAUAAUAUUUUGAACCGCAUGGUUCAAAAGUGAAAGACGGUCUUGCUGUCACUUAUAGAUGGAUCCGCGCUGCAUUAGCUAGUUGGUAAGGUAACGGCUUACCAAGGCAACGAUGCAUAGCCGACCUGAGAGGGUGAUCGGCCACACUGGAACUGAGACACGGUCCAGACUCCUACGGGAGGCAGCAGUAGGGAAUCUUCCGCAAUGGGCGAAAGCCUGACGGAGCAACGCCGCGUGAGUGAUGAAGGUCUUCGGAUCGUAAAACUCUGUUAUUAGGGAAGAACAUAUGUGUAAGUAACUGUGCACAUCUUGACGGUACCUAAUCAGAAAGCCACGGCUAACUACGUGCCAGCAGCCGCGGUAAUACGUAGGUGGCAAGCGUUAUCCGGAAUUAUUGGGCGUAAAGCGCGCGUAGGCGGUUUUUUAAGUCUGAUGUGAAAGCCCACGGCUCAACCGUGGAGGGUCAUUGGAAACUGGAAAACUUGAGUGCAGAAGAGGAAAGUGGAAUUCCAUGUGUAGCGGUGAAAUGCGCAGAGAUAUGGAGGGACACCAGUGGCGAAGGCGACUUUCUGGUCUGUAACUGACGCUGAUGUGCGAAAGCGUGGGGAUCAAACAGGAUUAGAUACCCUGGUAGUCCACGCCGUAAACGAUGAGUGCUAAGUGUUAGGGGGUUUCCGCCCCUUAGUGCUGCAGCUAAUGCAUUAAGCACUCCGCCUGGGGAGUACGACCGCAAGGUUGAAACUCAAAGGAAUUGACGGGGACCCGCACAAGCGGUGGAGCAUGUGGUUUAAUUCGAAGCAACGCGAAGAACCUUACCAAAUCUUGACAUCCUUUGACAACUCUAGAGAUAGAGCCUUCCCCUUCGGGGGACAAAGUGACAGGUGGUGCAUGGUUGUCGUCAGCUCGUGUCGUGAGAUGUUGGGUUAAGUCCCGCAACGAGCGCAACCCUUAAGCUUAGUUGCCAUCAUUAAGUUGGGCACUCUAAGUUGACUGCCGGUGACAAACCGGAGGAAGGUGGGGAUGACGUCAAAUCAUCAUGCCCCUUAUGAUUUGGGCUACACACGUGCUACAAUGGACAAUACAAAGGGCAGCGAAACCGCGAGGUCAAGCAAAUCCCAUAAAGUUGUUCUCAGUUCGGAUUGUAGUCUGCAACUCGACUACAUGAAGCUGGAAUCGCUAGUAAUCGUAGAUCAGCAUGCUACGGUGAAUACGUUCCCGGGUCU
Molecule: ribosomal RNA, 1372 nt
Filed under: uncultured bacterium
Lineage: Bacteria
Description: bacterial SSU rRNA
Rfam family: Bacterial small subunit ribosomal RNA
Source: RNAcentral